This 536-nucleotide ribosomal RNA is filed under the name uncultured bacterium. RNAcentral describes it as "partial 16S ribosomal RNA". It matches the Rfam family "Bacterial small subunit ribosomal RNA", at positions 355 to 883 of the family's 1533-position model. The record is from RNAcentral.
UGGGGAAUUUUGGACAAUGGGCGAAAGCCUGAUCCAGCAAUGCCGCGUGUGUGAAGAAGGCCUUCGGGUUGUAAAGCACUUUUGUCCGGAAAGAAAUCCUUGGCUCUAAUACAGUCGGGGGAUGACGGUACCGGAAGAAUAAGCACCGGCUAACUACGUGCCAGCAGCCGCGGUAAUACGUAGGGUGCAAGCGUUAAUCGGAAUUACUGGGCGUAAAGCGUGCGCAGGCGGUUUGCUAAGACCGAUGUGAAAUCCCCGGGCUCAACCUGGGAACUGCAUUGGUGACUGGCAGGCUAGAGUAUGGCAGAGGGGGGUAGAAUUCCACGUGUAGCAGUGAAAUGCGUAGAGAUGUGGAGGAAUACCGAUGGCGAAGGUCAGCCCCCAUGGGCCAAUACUGACGCUCAUGCACGAAAGCGUGGGGAGCAAACNGGAUUAAUACCCUGGUAGUCCACGCCCUAAANGAUGUCAACUAGUUGUUGGGGAUUCAUUUCCUUAGUAACGUAGCUAACGCGUGAAGUUGACCGCCUGGGGAGUAC